RNAcentral lists this transfer RNA (51 nucleotides) under Trioza remota. RNAcentral's name for it is "tRNA-Glu". Lineage: Eukaryota; Metazoa; Arthropoda; Insecta; Hemiptera; Triozidae. The record is from RNAcentral.
CCCUUCUGUAAUUUAUUAUAAAAUUCCAUAUUUUCAAUAUGGCAAAGAGUU